This 397-nucleotide ribosomal RNA is filed under the name uncultured bacterium. Its description in RNAcentral is "partial 16S ribosomal RNA". It matches the Rfam family "Bacterial small subunit ribosomal RNA", at positions 523 to 918 of the family's 1533-position model. The record is from RNAcentral.
AUACGUAGGGGGCGAGCGUUGUCCGGAAUGAUUGGGCGUAAAGGGCGCGUAGGCGGCCCGGUAAGUCUGGAGUGAAAGUCCUGUUUUUAAGAUGGGAAUUGCUUUGGAUACUGUCGGGCUUGAGUGCAGGAGAGGUAAGUGGAAUUCCCAGUGUAGCUGUGAAAUGCGUAGAGAUUGGGAGGAACACCAGUGGCGAAGGCGACUUACUGGACUGUAACUGACGCUGAGGCGCGAAAGUGUGGGGAGCAAACAGGAUUAGAUACCCUGGUAGUCCACACUGUAAACGAUGAAUGCUAGGUGUAGGGGGUAUCGACCCCUUCUGUGCCGCAGUCAACACAAUAAGCAUUCCGCCUGGGGAGUACGGCCGCAAGGUUGAAACUCAAAUGAAUUGACGGGG